This 433-nucleotide ribosomal RNA is filed under the name uncultured bacterium. RNAcentral describes it as "partial 16S ribosomal RNA". It matches the Rfam family "Bacterial small subunit ribosomal RNA", at positions 28 to 507 of the family's 1533-position model. The record is from RNAcentral.
GACGAACGCUGGCGGCAGGCUUAACACAUGCAAGUCGAGCGCAUCCUCCGGGGUGAUCGGCUGCCGGGUGGGUAACACGUGAGAACGUGCCCUCUUCUACGGAAUUGCCUCGGGAAACUGAGAGUAAUGCCGUAUACGCCCGCAAGGGGGCAGAUUCAUCGGAGGAGGAUCGGCCCGCGGGUGAUUGGGUAGUUGGUGGGGUAACGGCCUAGCAAGCCGGAGAUGCAUAGCUGGGUUGAGAGGAUGAUCCGCCACCCUGGGACAGGGACCAGGCCUAGACUCCUAGGGAAGGCAGCAGUGGGGAACGUUGGGCAAUGGGUGCGACACUAAUCCAGUCAGGCCGCGAGAUCGAUGAAGGCCUUAGGAUUGUAAAGAUCUUUCAGCUGGGAAGAUAAUGACGGUACCAGCAGAAGAAGCCCCGGCUAACUCCGUG